AGACACAAAGAGCAUCGACUUUUCGAACGCAUAUUGCGGUAUCGGGCCUGCUCGAUACCACGCCUAUCUGAGGGUCGAAUAAUCGAUAUAAAAUCGUUUUACGACUAAUCAUAUAUAUAUAUAUAUAUGUGACUGAUGAAAGUAUAGUCGUAGUAGACGGAAAUGAUUCGAGAUUACUUACGAUGAAUAGUAAUCAUCGAAUCCAAGGGUACCAGCUAACGCUACGCGUGUGUCGAACGUUUUUUAUACGCACGAUAGUGUUAGUGUUGGUAACCAGCGAAUGAAAACACGUAGGCCGAACGUGGCCAGCUGUCCUUUUUCGUAUAUAACUAGUUCCCGUUUGAUGAUCGGGCGAUCGUAAAUAGCUACGUAUAUACGAAAGAAUGAACGAAGGACUCUGGCCUUAGUUCUGGAUCUUCGUUUUGACGUUUGACCUCAGAUUAGACGUGAAAACCCGCUGAAUUUAAGCAUAUAACUAGGCGGAGGAAAAGAAAUUAACGAAGAUUUCCUUAGUAACGGCGAGUGAAA
RNAcentral lists this ribosomal RNA (528 nucleotides) under Longidorus hangzhouensis. RNAcentral describes it as "eukaryotic LSU rRNA". The stretch from base 431 to 528 matches the Rfam family "Eukaryotic large subunit ribosomal RNA", at positions 1 to 98 of the family's 3401-position model. The record is from RNAcentral. Lineage: Eukaryota; Metazoa; Nematoda; Enoplea; Dorylaimida; Longidoridae.